RNAcentral lists this antisense RNA (187 nucleotides) under Cyanobacterium stanieri PCC 7202. Its description in RNAcentral is "Antisense RNA which regulates isiA expression". It matches the Rfam family "Antisense RNA which regulates isiA expression". The record is from Rfam by way of RNAcentral. Lineage: Bacteria; Bacillati; Cyanobacteriota; Cyanophyceae; Chroococcales; Geminocystaceae.
AGUAACCAAAAAUGGUUGCAGGGUUUAGGGUUGGGUUAGUGAUAAUACGGACAUCUCCACCACCAGGAGCCCAGGUAUCAUAUACACCACCAAAGAACAUGGCUUUAAAUACCAGUAAGAAAGCACCCAAACCUAAAAGGAUCAAGUGAUAACCAAUGAUGUUGGUCAUUUGGUUUUUAUCUUUCCA